GAAAUGCGAUUAGUAGUGUGAAUUGCAGAAUUCAGUGAAUCAUCGAAUCUUUGAACGCACAUUGCGCCCCUUGGUAUUCCAUGGGGCAUGCCUGUUCGAGCGUCAUUUGUACCCUCAAGCUCUGCUUGGUGUUGGGUGUUUGUCCCCGUCUCCGCGCGUGGACUCGCCCCAAAGUGAUUGGCAGCCGGCGUACUGGUCCCGGAGCGCAGCACAUGUCGCGCAAACGAGUGCCUUGGUACGGCGGCGUCCAUAAGCCCCUCUCUCACGCUCUUGACCUCGGAUCAGGUAGGGAUACCCGCUGAACUUAAGC
This 310-nucleotide unclassified non-coding RNA is filed under the name plant metagenome. Its description in RNAcentral is "partial contains 5.8S ribosomal RNA, internal transcribed spacer 2, and large subunit ribosomal RNA". The stretch from base 1 to 105 matches the Rfam family "5.8S ribosomal RNA", at positions 50 to 154 of the family's 154-position model. The record is from RNAcentral.